UCCACGCACUGGCACAUACGCAGCUGCAGCAGACUGUCCCAUCAAGCUCAACCAUUACGCCCCCCCCACGCACACCCACAAAGAAAACUCCACCUUUUUCCUCAUUCCUCCCUCCCUCCUGUUACUGUGUAUGUGUGUCUGCGUACACCCUGCCUCCGUCUGCUGGGAACGCCUACCACCCCACCCCCGCACGCAUGCACGAAGGCACAGAAAAUGAGUAUCAGCGUCAUGUCCACUCCGGUGCCAGCGUCGUCAUCGGCGGAUACGGGCGAAAUGAGCCUCAUCGAGGCCCUCGGCGUCGCCAUUGAGGCAGCCGACAAGGGCAGCCGCAUCAUCUGGCAAUGCGUUGAAAAACGCCGCAUAGCGAUGGCAGCUGCAGCCACCUUCCACACGACCAGCGCGCUUGCAGCCGGCGGCGCGGCCUCGGUGGAGUGCGAAAACAAGACUUCUGCGACGAACCUAGUGACGCAGCACAGCAAACAAUGUAGAGAGACUAUCAUUCGCAUUCUUCGCCAGUACUCGGAGGAGGUGCAGCGUGAGAAGCCGCACCUUCGCUUCGCCUUCUUGACAGAGGAGCUCAACCCCGGCACCCCCCUCUCCGACGACUACACAUGGGUCGUGGACCCCAUCGACGGCGCCGCUUCGUUUGUGCACGGGUUGCCAGACUGCUGCAUCAGCAUUGGGCUCACCUACCGCAAGCAGCCGGUGCUGGCCGUGGUGUUCACACCCUUCAUCAGCUCCGGCGUUCGACUCACCGUAGCGGCUGCGGCGGUGCUCAACGUCGCACAGCAGCAGCAGCAGCAGCAGUAUCAGCACCAGCAGCAGCAGCUGGUGAUGUCUCCGACUUUAUCAGUCACGGCCCCUGCCAUUUCUGGGACCAUGUGUGGCUCCGUCGGGGCCGCCCCUCUCACCCCCAUGGACGUCAGCAAGACCAAGAUGCUGGAUGAGCACGGGACUGCCGCUGCGCCGACAACUGCCCUGCCCCCAACGCCUCCAACGCCGCCGUUCCCUUCGUUGAGGGCUGCUGCUGCUGCUACAGCGGCGGCUUCUGCAUCGCCACCCAGCGUACCCAUCAUCACGCACACCACGCCGAGCGUCGUGCCGGAGUGCAACGGCGAGCUCUUCACGGCCAUCAAGGGCUUUGGUGCCUUUGUCAACGGGCGGCAGGUACGCGUAAACGCCAAGGUUGUGCCGGCCACGUCGGUUGUGGUGUUCAACCACCCUUGCGGUGUGAUGCUGUCGACGGCCGAGGCGGCCAGCCCCGAAGGCGCGGCCAUCCGUCGUCGCAAGUGCGACGCCGCGAUUGACUGCAGCAUGGCCAUGCGCGAGGAGCUGCUUCGCCUGCCGGUGGCGGCGCUGCGGUGCUAUGGUAGCUGCGCGGCGACCCUCGCGCAGGUGGCGGCGGGGCGCGUGGACGCGUACCUUGAGCCGGCCGGUAAGGCAUGGGACGUCUGUGCCGGAUCGCUGCUCGUCACAGAGGCUGGCGGUGUUGUGUGCAAUAUGCUCGGCAGGCCGCUCGACAUGGCACAUGACACGACCAUCGUGGCCGCGGCAACGCAAGAGAUGGCCGAUUUGAUGACGGAGAAGUGCGUGCGGCACGGCUUUGGCCAGUACUGGCUGGUCGAAAAAGAGUGACACUGUUCCCUCGUCGUGCCCUCCCCUGAGGCAACGGACGGAGAAAGGCACUGAGCGUGGCCCACAGGAGGGACACGCGCACGGAACGGGGGCGCGCACCCAAUCCUGGUGGAGAGGGGAGGGGAGGGAAAAGUGCCUUUGGUGCACUGUGUGGCUGCGCAGGCGUGCGCCGGCGGAGACUUGCACAGGCACACGUAAAUACGUGCGACCAAACGCAAGCCAUCUCUCUGCCCCCCCCCCUCGACUACCACCACCACCACCCUCUCCCCUCAACCGACACCAACGUCCCUGCCCCAACCCCACCUCGCGUUGCUCGGCAG
Molecule: unclassified non-coding RNA, 1955 nt
Filed under: Leishmania donovani
Lineage: Eukaryota; Euglenozoa; Kinetoplastea; Trypanosomatida; Trypanosomatidae
Description: gene:LdHU3.15.1220(CDS-product:myo-inositol-1_pho sphatase_putative)
Source: RNAcentral